RNAcentral lists this unclassified non-coding RNA (149 nucleotides) under uncultured Chloridium. RNAcentral describes it as "sequence contains ITS2". Lineage: Eukaryota; Fungi; Ascomycota; Sordariomycetes; Chaetosphaeriales; Chaetosphaeriaceae. The record is from RNAcentral.
CAACCCUCAGGCCCUGCCUGGCGUUGGAGGACUGCGCCCGCAGCCUCCCAAAGCAAGCGGCGGCGGCGCCCCCCCACCGAACGCAGUAGUUACCUCUCGUUCUGGGACGGGGACGUCGUCCGGCCGGAAAACACCCCUCUUCGCAGUGG